GGAUGAACGCUAGCUACAGGCUUAACACAUGCAAGUCGAGGGGCAGCAUAUUUAUAGCAAUAUAAAUGAUGGCGACCGGCGCACGGGUGAGUAACUCGUAUCCAACCUCCCUUUUACUCGGGGAUAGCCUUUCGAAAGAAAGAUUAAUACCCGAUAGUAUAUGGUUUUCUCAUGAAGAUCCUAUUAAAGAAUUUCGGUAAAAGAUGGGGAUGCGUUCCAUUAGGCAGUUGGCGGGGUAACGGCCCACCAAACCUACGAUGGAUAGGGGUUCUGAGAGGAAGGUCCCCCACAUUGGAACUGAGACACGGUCCAAACUCCUACGGGAGGCAGCAGUGAGGAAUAUUGGUCAAUGGGCGAGAGCCUGAACCAGCCAAGU
RNAcentral lists this ribosomal RNA (376 nucleotides) under uncultured Bacteroides sp. RNAcentral describes it as "bacterial SSU rRNA". It matches the Rfam family "Bacterial small subunit ribosomal RNA", at positions 27 to 397 of the family's 1533-position model. The record is from RNAcentral. Lineage: Bacteria; Pseudomonadati; Bacteroidota; Bacteroidia; Bacteroidales; Bacteroidaceae.